Non-coding RNA from Lactuca sativa (garden lettuce), 1299 nucleotides. Lineage: Eukaryota; Viridiplantae; Streptophyta; Magnoliopsida; Asterales; Asteraceae. The record is from RefSeq and is a predicted model, not a curated record.
CUUCAACGUUUUCAAUUGCUCCUAGCUUUGAAGUAGAAAGCAGGAUCAAGUCUAGUUUAAUGGAUUGCAAUUCUGGCAUUAUGACGACCUCUAAAUUGCUCCUUUUCUUGUUCAUGAUGUUUUCCCCUAGCUCUCGCAUGAUCCUGGUAGAUAAUACUGUGGACCUGUAAUGCUGAUUUAAGACACCCUUGAAGUGACAGAAUGUUAGAAGCAAGCUCCCUCAGCAAUUCUGUUAUCUGUUGAUGUUUCUCCCAAGGAUUACAAAACCAAAAUCUUCCAUGUGUAGGUUCCCACCUUGCAAAAUUCACCUGAAACUUAUAUGGAAUUUCAAUACCGGGUCUUGGAUUUUGGUUAGUUUAUGAAUUUUACAAGUGAAUUUAAGACUUGUCGUAACAACUUAAUUAAAAACUUGAUAUUUGGUGCAUGGUAUUUAAGUUUGAUAUGGAUAAGAGAUAUCACCAGUGAUUCAUCACUUGAGUUCGAGUGCAAAACUGAGUUGCAACUGCUGACAUGAAUGAUUGGGCGACUUUCCUUUUCAUCAACUACCAAGAAUGCUUCCAUGCAUUCUAGAAUUCAUCAAUGAUAAGUAAAAGAGUGUUAUGUAUGGGGUAUAACAUCAACAUGCAAGUACCUUCAAUGCAGGAAGCUAGUUGUUUAAACUUGGAGGAGGUGAGUUGAUGAAGUUCAUCAGUAGCCCACAUGGGAAAUACAAGUAAACCGAUGAAUAUACAGACAGCAAAACCCAUGGCAACUGCUGAAAGACGAUGGUGGGCUAAUUCCAUGACUUGAUGAUCACCAUGCAAGCUUGAUGCUGCUACAAGGUUAAAGGGUUUUUUUACAAGUUUGUUAAUGCUUCUGGAAACCCUAUGGCUCCAUAGAAGGCAUGUAGAACACAUUAACUCGACCUAGAAGAGUAGUUUGUGUAGGAAUUGGGAUGAGGCUUACACACACACAGAGACAAGAACAUUUAUAUUUAUGGUUUGUGAAGAGUGUAUGGUUUCUCACCCAUCCCAAUGAAGCUAGAUUUUUAAUAUUAAUAUACUACUGAUUAUAAUGUACAGUAACUUAAUAGGUAAUUGACAUGUCUUAUCUAUCAAUCGGACUUGCAUUUUAUGUUGUUGGAGUCAUGGCUUAGAUUAUGAAGACAUGAAAGGAAGAAAAGCAUAAAUGAUAAUGAUGAUAAGAGGAUAUAGAUAUAUCGUGCACCAAAGAAUUUUCCCAUGCACAGGAUAAAUAAGAUGGGACUUAUUGAAUACGAUGGAACAGAAUUACCCUAAAUCAUAACGAGCGCACUUCACU